This is a long non-coding RNA of Bubalus bubalis (water buffalo), 966 nucleotides long. RefSeq lists it as uncharacterized. The transcript is spliced from 2 exons. Lineage: Eukaryota; Metazoa; Chordata; Mammalia; Artiodactyla; Bovidae. The record is from RefSeq and is a predicted model, not a curated record.
AACUUGUAUCUCCUGCAAUUCUCCUGCAUUACAGGCAGAUUCUUUACUGCUGAGUCACUGGGAGGGGUGUCAGUCUGCAACUAGAGGACCUCAACAUGGUUAUUCAAGAUGUCUUGUGGUAUGGUUGCUCCACCAUCUUCCCAUCCUGGAAAAGCGGAGAUGCCAAGAUGCACAGCUGACUCCAGAAUUUUGCUCCUGCUUCUAGGAUAGGCAAGAUGGCCAGUUAUCACCCUCCUUGUGCUCAGAAUUCUGCCAGGUGGCAGAAGCCACCUGUUCUAGGAGAGCCUUCUCUUGGGACAAGUGUGUACAUUAUAAAUGAAAAGCUUAUUUUUAGCACCCUGAAUCCAUCAGAGACCACCAAAGUGGCCUUCAUUACCCAUUCUAGCUCAGCAUGACUGGAGGGCAGAGAUGGUAGGAAAACCUCUUGAGAAACUGACACAUCUUCCUCCAAAAUUGGAUCUUUGCCUGCUUCAACUCUCAUCUCUGUUUGCCAAAUAAAUAUUUAGGUACCUAAAACCUGGCAUAGUUUUAGCUCUGAGGACCCAGCAAUAAUCAAGAGACCCCAUGCCAGCCCUAUGGUUCUCAUAAUUGGUGAGGAGGAUAUCACAAAAUAACCACAGAUUUUGAAGUGAUUGAAAGUGCAGUAACCCUCAUAAUUUCUCCUGACACCUCGGCUCCAGCCUCAGUCUCAGUUUCUGUGCCUAUUUGAAGAAGUUUUGUUUCAAGUCCUUCGUGUCUGAGUCCCUCUGUGUCACCUGUAUCGUAACCAAAAAGUUGGUCGUCGUAGAGGACACCAACAACUCUGGGACUGUCUCCAUGACAACACAUCAGCAUAUCCUGCCCUCAGAGCCCUGGAGACCCUACCCUACAUUCGUGUACCAUUUAUAAUAAUCAUUCUUGAUAUUCUGUAACUGAUGAUUCAGCAUCUUGAAAUCAUGAGAAAAUUAAAGACCAAUGUUGUUUACA